AGUGAACGCUGGCGGUAGGCCUAACACAUGCAAGUCGAACGGCCGCACCGUAAGAGCUUGCUCUUACGGGUGGCGAGUGGCGGACGGGUGAGGAAUACAUCGGAAUCUACUUUUUCGUGGGGGCUAACGUAGGGAAACUUACGCUAAUACCGCAUACGACCUACGAGUGAAAGCAGGGGAUCUUCGGACCUUUCGCGAUUGAAUGAGCCGAUGUCGGAUUAGCUAGUUGGCGGGGUAAAGGCCUACCAAGGCGACGAUACGUAGCUGGUCUGAGAGGAUGAUCAGCCACGCUGGAACGGAGAAACGGUCCAGACGCCUCCGGGAGGCAGCAGUGGGGAAUAUUGGACGAUGGGGGGAAGCCUGAUCCAGCCAUACCGAGUGGGUGAAGAAGGCCUUCGGGUUGUAAAGACCAUGUGUUGGGAAAGAAAAGCAGCAGGUUAAUACCCCGAUGUACUGACGGUACCCAAAGAAUAAGCACCGGCUAACUUCGUG
This 492-nucleotide ribosomal RNA is filed under the name uncultured bacterium. Its description in RNAcentral is "partial 16S ribosomal RNA". It matches the Rfam family "Bacterial small subunit ribosomal RNA", at positions 29 to 507 of the family's 1533-position model. The record is from RNAcentral.